Molecule: unclassified non-coding RNA, 232 nt
Filed under: Hevea brasiliensis (rubber tree)
Lineage: Eukaryota; Viridiplantae; Streptophyta; Magnoliopsida; Malpighiales; Euphorbiaceae
Source: RNAcentral
GAGCAAGGUAUUCUGGAGCCAUGUAUCCACUAUAGUUUUAUAAAAUUGAAAUCAUUGCUCGUUCAAAUAUAUAUAGAUAGUAUUAUGUUCAUAUAUGAAUUACAUAUUGAAUCAUUUCAAUUACUAGAAUAUUGACCUUAAAGUUUGAUCGAUACUUAAUAUGUUCUCAGUUUGCCAAAGACCAAAAUGGAACAGAUACUCACAGUGUUCCUGCAAUGGCUGUGCUGAUAUG